GGACUACCAGGGUAUCUAAUCCUGUUUGCUCCCCACGCUUUCGCACCUUAGUGUCAGUAUUAGUCCAGGAAGUCGCUUUCGCCACUGGUGUUCCUUCCGAUAUCUACGCAUUUCACCGCUACACCGGAAAUUCCACUUCCCUCUACCAUACUCUAGACAUCCAGUAUCGGACGCAAUUCCUAGGUUAAGCCCAGGGAUUUCACAUCCGACUUAAAUAUCCACCUACGUGCGCUUUACGCCCAGUAAUUCCGAUUAACGCUUGCACCCUCUGUAUUACCGCGGCUGCUGGCAC
RNAcentral lists this ribosomal RNA (292 nucleotides) under uncultured bacterium. Its description in RNAcentral is "partial 16S ribosomal RNA". The record is from RNAcentral.